RNAcentral lists this ribosomal RNA (486 nucleotides) under uncultured bacterium. RNAcentral describes it as "partial 16S ribosomal RNA". It matches the Rfam family "Bacterial small subunit ribosomal RNA", at positions 30 to 507 of the family's 1533-position model. The record is from RNAcentral.
AUUGAACGCUGGCGGCAUGCCUUACACAUGCAAGUCGAACGGCAGCACGGGUGCUUGCACCUGGUGGCGGGUGGGGAACGGGUGAGUAAUACAUCGGCACAUGUCCUUUAGUGGGGGAUAGUCCGGCUAAAACCGGAUACAUACCGCAGACGAUCGACGGAUGAAACCAAGGGUCCGUCCGCCCUCGCGCAGUUAGGUUGGCCGAUGGCUGAUUAGCUAGGUGGUGCUGUGUAGGUCUACUAAGGCGACGAUCAGUAGAUGGUCUGAGAGGACGACUAGCUACCUUGGGACUGAGACAGGGCACCGACACCUACGGUGGGCAGCAGCGGGGACUUUUGGGCAAUGGGGGAAAGCCUGAUCCAGCAAUGCCGCGUGUAUCAUGAAGGCCUUCGGGUGGUAAAGCACUUUUGUCCGGAAAGAUGUCAUGGGCUCUAAUACAGUCCGAGGAUGACGGUACCGGAGGAAUAAGCACCGGCUAACUACGUG